RNAcentral lists this ribosomal RNA (516 nucleotides) under uncultured bacterium. RNAcentral's name for it is "partial 16S ribosomal RNA". It matches the Rfam family "Bacterial small subunit ribosomal RNA", at positions 29 to 523 of the family's 1533-position model. The record is from RNAcentral.
UAUGAACGCUGGCGGCGUGCCUAAUACAUGCAAGUCGAACGCAUUGAGAGAAGUGCUUGCACUUUUCAAUUUGAGUGGCGAACGGGUGAGUAACACGUGGGCAACCUACCUGAUAGCGGGGGAUAACGAGUGGAAACAUUCGCUAAUACCGCAUAACAAUAGAGAAGGCAUCUUCUUUAUUUAAAAGGCGCUUUCAAGCGUCACUAUCAGAUGGGCCCGCGGUGCAUUAGUUAGUUGGUGGGGUGAAGGCCUACCAAGACGAUGAUGCAUAGCCGACGUGAGGAGCAGAUCGGCCACAUUGGGGCUGAGAAACGGCCCAAACUCCUAAGGAAGGCUGCAGUAGGGAAUCUUCCACAAUGGACGAAAGUCUGAUGGGGCAACGCCGCGUGUGUGAUGAAGGCGUUCGGGUCGUAAAGCACGGUUGUAUGGGAAGAAAUGCUAGGCUAGGAAAUGAGCUUAGUUUGACGGUACCAUACCAGAAAGGGACGGCUAAAUACGUGCCAGCCGCCGCGGUAA